ACACUCCUACGGGAGGCAGCAGUGGGGAAUAUUGCACAAUGGGCGCAAGCCUGAUGCAGCCAUGCCGCGUGUAUGAAGAAGGCCUUCGGGUUGUAAAGUACUUUCAGCGGGGAGGAAGGCGAUAAGGUUAAUAACCUUGUUGAUUGACGUUACCCGCAGAAGAAGCACCGGCUAACUCCGUGCCAGCAGCCGCGGUAAUACGGAGGGUGCAAGCGUUAAUCGGAAUUACUGGGCGUAAAGCGCACGCAGGCGGUCUGUCAAGUCGGAUGUGAAAUCCCCGGGCUCAACCUGGGAACUGCAUUCGAAACUGGCAGGCUAGAGUCUUGUAGAGGGGGGUAGAAUUCCAGGUGUAGCGGUGAAAUGCGUAGAGAUCUGGAGGAAUACCGGUGGCGAAGGCGGCCCCCUGGACAAAGACUGACGCUCAGGUGCGAAAGCGUGGGGAGCAAACAGGAUUAGAAACCCCUGUAGUCCCAUGAU
RNAcentral lists this ribosomal RNA (477 nucleotides) under uncultured organism. RNAcentral's name for it is "partial 16S ribosomal RNA". It matches the Rfam family "Bacterial small subunit ribosomal RNA", at positions 333 to 801 of the family's 1533-position model. The record is from RNAcentral.